UCUUUUCUUUUGAUAAGAGAGUUUUUAAAACCAGUGUUAUUUUUGUAAGUUUAAGAGAAGUUUGUGUAUUGAAUUUUUUAUUUUUAAUAUUAAAGAGCUUUGUUAAACCUAGACUUAAGUUUAGGUCAUUUUGGGGGUUUAGCUCAGUUGGCUAGAGCAUCGGCUUUGCAAGCCGAGGGUCAAGGGUUCGAGUCCCUUAACCUCCAUUGGGCUUAUGUCCUAAAUUGUAAUUAAGUAUGUUUUUAAGCAGCUUUGUUAAAGUAAUUGUUAGAAUGUGAAACAGAGGAAGUUAAAAUUUCUGGGUUAAGUUGAGAUCUGUUGAUAUUAAGAAGAAUCUCUAGAAGCAAAAGCAAGCUUUCGAUAAAACCCGAAGUUGUUUCGCUAAAGUGCAAGGAUUAAACAGGAUUGUAUUUUCCAGCAGCCUAUUUUAUAAACGAUCUGCAUUUAGUAAAUAGUUUUUAGUUAAGAAAUAAUGUAGAUUGCUAAGUGUGAUGUC
RNAcentral lists this unclassified non-coding RNA (496 nucleotides) under Borreliella burgdorferi (Lyme disease spirochete). Its description in RNAcentral is "partial 16S-23S ribosomal RNA intergenic spacer". The stretch from base 133 to 206 matches the Rfam family "tRNA". Lineage: Bacteria; Pseudomonadati; Spirochaetota; Spirochaetia; Spirochaetales; Borreliaceae. The record is from RNAcentral.